GACGAACGCUGGCGGCGUGCUUAACACAUGCAAGUCGAACGAUGAACAGGAGCUUGCUCCUGGGAUUAGUGGCGAACGGGUGAGUAACACGUGAGUAACCUGCCCUUGACUCUGGGAUAAGCGUUGGAAACGACGUCUAAUACCGGAUAUGACUCUCGCCGGCAUCGGCUGGGGGUGGAAAGAUUUUUUGGUCAAGGAUGGACUCGCGGCCUAUCAGGUAGUUGGUGAGGUAAUGGCUCACCAAGCCGACGACGGGUAGCCGGCCUGAGAGGGUGACCGGCCACACUGGGACUGAGACACGGCCCAGACUCCUACGGGAGGCAGCAGUGGGGAAUAUUGCACAAUGGGCGCAAGCCUGAUGCAGCAACGCCGCGUGAGGGAUGACGGCCUUCGGGUUGUAAACCUCUUUUAGUAGGGAAGAAGCGACUGAAUUUAUUCUGAGUGACGGUACCUGCAGAAAAAGCACCGGCUAACUACGUGCCAGCCGCCGCCGUAACAC
This 499-nucleotide ribosomal RNA is filed under the name uncultured bacterium. RNAcentral's name for it is "bacterial SSU rRNA". It matches the Rfam family "Bacterial small subunit ribosomal RNA", at positions 28 to 526 of the family's 1533-position model. The record is from RNAcentral.